CGGCGUGCUUAACACAUGCAAGUCGAACGAAACACCUUAUUUGAUUUUCUUCGGAACUGAAGAUUUGGUGAUUGAGUGGCGGACGGGUGAGUAACGCGUGGGUAACCUACCCUGUACAGGGGGAUAACAGUCAGAAAUGACUGCUAAUACCGCAUAAGACCACAGCACCGCAUGGUGCAGGGGUAAAAACUCCGGUGGUACAGGAUGGACCCGCGUCUGAUUAGCUGGUUGGUGAGGUAACGGCUCACCAAGGCGACGAUCAGUAGCCGGCUUGAGAGAGUGAACGGCCACAUUGGGACUGAGACACGGCCCAAACUCCUACGGGAGGCAGCAGUGGGGAAUAUUGCACAAUGGGGGAAACCCUGAUGCAGCGACGCCGCGUGAGUGAAGAAGUAUCUCGGUAUGUAAAGCUCUAUCAGCAGGGAAGAAAAUGACGGUACCUGACUAAGAAGCCCCGGCUAACUACGUGCCAGCAGCCGCGGUAAUACGUAGGGGGCAAGCGUUAUCCGGAAUUACUGGGUGUAAAGGGUGCGUAGGUGGUAUGGCAAGUCAGAAGUGAAAACCCAGGGCUUAACUCUGGGACUGCUUUUGAAACUGUCAGACUGGAGUGCAGGAGAGGUAAGCGGAAUUCCUAGUGUAGCGGUGAAAUGCGUAGAUAUUAGGAGGAACAUCAGUGGCGAAGGCGGCUUACUGGACUGAAACUG
This 704-nucleotide ribosomal RNA is filed under the name uncultured Lachnospiraceae bacterium. Its description in RNAcentral is "bacterial SSU rRNA". It matches the Rfam family "Bacterial small subunit ribosomal RNA", at positions 40 to 742 of the family's 1533-position model. Lineage: Bacteria; Bacillati; Bacillota; Clostridia; Lachnospirales; Lachnospiraceae. The record is from RNAcentral.